Molecule: unclassified non-coding RNA, 84 nt
Organism: Cavia porcellus (domestic guinea pig)
Lineage: Eukaryota; Metazoa; Chordata; Mammalia; Rodentia; Caviidae
Rfam family: Y RNA
About the family: Y RNAs are components of the Ro ribonucleoprotein particle (Ro RNP), in association with Ro60 and La proteins. The Y RNAs and Ro60 and La proteins are well conserved, but the function of the Ro RNP is not known.
Source: Ensembl
AGUUGGUCCGAAGGCUGUGGGUUAUUGUUAUACAUGGUUAACAUUGUCUCCCCCCACACCCGUGCUUGACUAACUGAGUGUUUU